CACCAUGGUCCCUAUCUUGUGUGGCAUGUAUAAACUGAGACUCACCAGUGAAUCGAAUGUCACCCUGUGGCUGUCUCAUAAACAGUGAUCUCCUGUCCUCUAGUUUUUCUCUGAUCAUCAGAUCCAUAACUACUACUAAUAUCAUCAUCACUCUCCCUGAUCUCCGAAUUUGAGCCAGAUAGCUCCUGUACUCUCGAGAGUG
RNAcentral lists this long non-coding RNA (202 nucleotides) under Elaeis guineensis (African oil palm). RNAcentral describes it as "long non-coding RNA (EGUI_LNC075666)". Lineage: Eukaryota; Viridiplantae; Streptophyta; Magnoliopsida; Arecales; Arecaceae. The record is from RNAcentral.